GGGGGAGGUCGUGAUGAUCAUGAUGAUCUGGUUUUCCGGUGAGUUUUUGGACGGUUUCACGGAAGUUGGAGACGUCGGUCUUAAUGAUCUCCGGUGCGUAUAUGUGGAUGAUUCGGAUCUUGGGCUUCGAUUUGGUUAGUGUUCUUGAUUGUUUGUGCAUCGCUAUAGUUGAUAAGCUUCUUCUUUUCUGAACAGUAGUAGCUUCAUUUUCCAUAGUUUUGUAGAAAAGAGUUAGGUUUUAUGUGAUAAAGAAGAGAGAGUUGGUGAAUUUUGAUGGUAAGUGGAAUAUGUUUAGGUUUAUAUAUAUAUAGGGGAAGAGAGAAGGAAAUGAUAAAGAAAAAGACACUUAUUUUUAGAGUCACAAGUUUUAGUGACAACUACUAUAUUUUUAUUCUUGUCUUCUGUUAUUUUUAUUUUUGUUGCUAAGAUUGUUUUUCUUAUUUCAUACUUCUAGUUUUGUUUUUGUCAACUCUAUCGUAUUUCCAGAUUGUAUAUGUAUCUAAAUGUAGGAUCCUAUAAACACACAUAUAUAUAUACAUAUAUAUAUAUUUAAAUUAAUAAAGGCAAAUGAAAUUGGUUGAUGACUUUAAUUUAUGAGAGAUCAAUAGAUAAACUAUAGUUGAAUUAAUUAAGAUACAUAUGAGACUAUAUUUAUGUUGAUGCAAGAGAUGUGUAAGGCUGUCUCCCAAAGACAUGAGAUUUAUGAAUCUAAAUCAAGUCUACGGACCCCCUCCAACUAACCAAAUCCUCCUGUUGGAAUGUCUUAAGACAUUUCAUUUCUUUUUUUUUUGUUAGCAUCAUUGAUUUUUUUCGUUAGUUAGUAUCAUUGAAUUUUUUUUUCCUUUCUUUUGAUCAGAUAUACGCACCAAAUUUCAAUUAUACAGCUAAAUGCGUACACAUAGUGUAAAAGGAUAUUAUAUGAAUGAAGGUGAAAUAUGUACAUACAAAGUGUUUGAGCAUAUUAUAUGUGAAGGUGAUACAUCGAUACAACAUUUCCAAUUGAAAUGUAUUUUCUGUCGACAUAUAUAGUCAAUUAUAGUAAAAGUAGUAGUCAUUAGUAUAUGGCAAUGUGUGUUUAGGUAGUACGCUUAAAUCUAAGUGGC
This 1103-nucleotide long non-coding RNA is filed under the name Eutrema salsugineum. Its description in RNAcentral is "long non-coding RNA (ESAL_LNC001994)". Lineage: Eukaryota; Viridiplantae; Streptophyta; Magnoliopsida; Brassicales; Brassicaceae. The record is from RNAcentral.